Molecule: long non-coding RNA, 2506 nt
Organism: Solanum pennellii
Lineage: Eukaryota; Viridiplantae; Streptophyta; Magnoliopsida; Solanales; Solanaceae
Exons: 4
Source: RefSeq, a predicted model, not a curated record
CUCGUCUGUUUCCCCUUUAUUCACAUGGGACACUCAGCUUGAAACCCUAGUUUCUUCAAAAGCGAGCAGUAUUCUUGAAUCAAACUCUCUGUAUUGAUUUUCGUAUAGGAAGAUGCUCAAGUUUGUAGGUAGAAAGAUCUUCAUCGGCAACUUGUCUGCUACGAGGAAGGCAAACUUUGUCAUCCCUGCAUAUGAAGAAAUAGAGCACAAAAGUACCACCUGUCGCAGAAUCCAUGUUUUGAGUUUGAGGACAACUACUUUCAAUCAACAUGAAGAGAAGAAUUAGGUAACUGUAAAAUUUUCUAAAAGAAAUGGUUGGACAAGGACAAAUACGAAGUACUCCAACUGUUCAGUGCUACUAACAAUCAAGUAAGAAGACAACAAAGAAGAGUUCAUCGAUGAAGGACAAUAAUAAAAAUGAUCCUGAUUAUGAAAUUAUUAGAACUGAUGUUUCAAGUUCUACUCAAACUAUCUUUAGGGAUCAAUGAGCUUGAAAGGAGCGGAAUAAAAUAUGAGUAAUAUCCAAAUGUUGCCUUCUUCUUCUAUUACUGGAAUAUAGUUAUUUAAUAUAAAGCAAGAAUAAUUGAGUUCUCAUUUAUAUUGGUCUUGGUUUCAAAAGCUUUCUUUCAAUUUUGCUUUUUCUCUUCUACAUAACUAGAAGUAAUGAUUAAUAUUUAUAUUUGUCUUUUGGUCUAAAGGUAGACUGUUUGACAUAUAUGUAUGCAUUUAAAGUCAAGUUGAAGGAAAAAGUAGAUAUAGAAGCUAAACUAUAGAUAUAUUGGCUUUUGUGGACCGGUCUUAGGUCUAAUUUUUAUCAAUCAUCUCUUAUAGACAAUCUAGCUAACAUUUUGGCUGCUAGUAUUAUAAAUCGUGAUCACCAACGUAAUGAGAAAGAUCACAUGUAAUAUAUACAAGUAAUCAUAUGAUUUGUGAUGAUUGAAAUAAUUUUAAUUUUUUCCGCUACGGGUAUACACAUACUAAGAAUUAAUUUUAAUUUUUGUUUGAUAUUUAAGUGAUGAUUGAAAAUUUUAUGACUUUCAAUUCUAUAUUACUAAUUUUGAUUUUCUUGAGUGUGUAUAUCACAUGCAUUAUUUAUGAGUUUCUCUGACAUAAUUUGCACUUAGAAGUAUAACAAUAUCAUAACUUCAAGAAGUAUAAUUUCACAUAUUAAAAAUGACGAUAAGUUGUACGAAAAAAAUUAUAAUAUAUGAAGUCAUAAAAUAUGAUUUAUAUUGAAAAAGUAAAAUGCUCUGAAGAGUAUCAAUCUUGGGAUGUGACACCCAGAGGAGGGUACCACUGCCUAACGUAUGAGAGAUCUUGAAUGUGGACAAUAUUUAUAUUGAAAAAGUAAGAAGAAUGUAGUACUAUUUCUGUAGAUUUUGUUGUUGGUGCUUUCAUCUAAAAUGUAGGCAAUAUGUUACUACUCGUGCAAUGUAUACACAAUAAUGAGAGAAGUAUGAUAAUAUAGUACAAACUCACCCAAAAUAGUUUACAAUUUAAUUUGCACAUUGAAGAAUUGAGAUAAUCACUGUAUCAAACAAAAAAUACGAGUGACGACUAAAACGAUGCCUCAACUUAGAAGUGUUGGUAAGUACUUUGAUGAGAAACAUGUUCAUACAAUGAUUUGGGUUGCUUAACUUAAUCCAUAAUGAUAACAAUAAAAGAUUUAAUAUUUUACACUUCAAGUGAUGCUUGUACGAUGAGUGAAGUAAUGAUGUUUAAACCACACGUGAUGCUUACGAGGGAAAAUAAAGCGAGAAAAAGCUUCCAAUAUUCUAGUGUAAGAAAAAAUGAAAAACAGAAUUAGUGUCAACUAUAGAGACUCCAUAGGGAUUCUCUAAGAAAAAUAAUCUAUCACAGUCCAAGAAAUUACCAUAUUUUUCGAAGCAUACUUCUUCUUUGGUAUAUAUGGUAAAAUUUCCAUACUAAUCUUUCUCCUUCUUUCACUAAGAUUGUCGCAAUUCUAAUAUCCUAAGAAAUACUUCUUUGCACUUAUAAUAUUUUUUAAUUUGAUUGACAGUCCCCUCAAGUACAAUGUGAAGGACUUGGCUCCUUCACGACAUAUAAUUCAAUCUCUAUAAGAUCUCUUUUACAGAUAAGUUAUUUUGUGUUCGAUAAAAAAAAUAGCUAAAUGAUAAAUGGAUUAUACCAUAUAUCCUUGAAUAAUGUAUAGGGAAGCUGAUGAGAGCUUAUGGAAAUACUGGGUGUCACAUUGCGUAUUUAGUUGAUUAUCUCUGUUUCUCUUUGAUACUUUAUUGUUCAAUCAGUAAUUAAAUAUGGUCGACUCCUUAAGAGUAUAUUAUUCUUUUUGAUUUACAAGAUAGGAUUUUUCUUAUAGAUAUUUCAUAUACCUUAUGCUAAGUGGGUUGAGCAGAUUUAUUUUCAUGCAUUUUUGUGUGCCAUAUAUUUUGCAUACAUAAUUAAUUUUCAUUUCACGAGAUGUAUAUAUUGAUGCUCUGAUAUGUACAAAGUUUAUGGCAUGAUGGAAAUGUUUUCGUUCAUAGUU